This 2451-nucleotide ribosomal RNA is filed under the name Escherichia coli. RNAcentral's name for it is "partial 23S ribosomal RNA". It matches the Rfam family "Bacterial large subunit ribosomal RNA", at positions 165 to 2640 of the family's 2925-position model. The record is from RNAcentral. Lineage: Bacteria; Pseudomonadati; Pseudomonadota; Gammaproteobacteria; Enterobacterales; Enterobacteriaceae.
CAUAGGUUAAUGAGGCGAACCGGGGGAACUGAAACAUCUAAGUACCCCGAGGAAAAGAAAUCAACCGAGAUUCCCCCAGUAGCGGCGAGCGAACGGGGAGGAGCCCAGAGCCUGAAUCAGUGUGUGUGUUAGUGGAAGCGUCUGGAAAGGCGCGCGAUACAGGGUGACAGCCCCGUACACAAAAAUGCACAUGCUGUGAGCUCGAUGAGUAGGGCGGGACACGUGGUAUCCUGUCUGAAUAUGGGGGGACCAUCCUCCAAGGCUAAAUACUCCUGACUGACCGAUAGUGAACCAGUACCGUGAGGGAAAGGCGAAAAGAACCCCGGCGAGGGGAGUGAAAAAGAACCUGAAACCGUGUACGUACAAGCAGUGGGAGCACGCUUAGGCGUGUGACUGCGUACCUUUUGUAUAAUGGGUCAGCGACUUAUAUUCUGUAGCAAGGUUAACCGAAUAGGGGAGCCGAAGGGAAACCGAGUCUUAACUGGGCGUUAAGUUGCAGGGUAUAGACCCGAAACCCGGUGAUCUAGCCAUGGGCAGGUUGAAGGUUGGGUAACACUAACUGGAGGACCGAACCGACUAAUGUUGAAAAAUUAGCGGAUGACUUGUGGCUGGGGGUGAAAGGCCAAUCAAACCGGGAGAUAGCUGGUUCUCCCCGAAAGCUAUUUAGGUAGCGCCUCGUGAAUUCAUCUCCGGGGGUAGAGCACUGUUUCGGCAAGGGGGUCAUCCCGACUUACCAACCCGAUGCAAACUGCGAAUACCGGAGAAUGUUAUCACGGGAGACACACGGCGGGUGCUAACGUCCGUCGUGAAGAGGGAAACAACCCAGACCGCCAGCUAAGGUCCCAAAGUCAUGGUUAAGUGGGAAACGAUGUGGGAAGGCCCAGACAGCCAGGAUGUUGGCUUAGAAGCAGCCAUCAUUUAAAGAAAGCGUAAUAGCUCACUGGUCGAGUCGGCCUGCGCGGAAGAUGUAACGGGGCUAAACCAUGCACCGAAGCUGCGGCAGCGACGCUUAUGCGUUGUUGGGUAGGGGAGCGUUCUGUAAGCCUGUGAAGGUGUACUGUGAGGUAUGCUGGAGGUAUCAGAAGUGCGAAUGCUGACAUAAGUAACGAUAAAGCGGGUGAAAAGCCCGCUCGCCGGAAGACCAAGGGUUCCUGUCCAACGUUAAUCGGGGCAGGGUGAGUCGACCCCUAAGGCGAGGCCGAAAGGCGUAGUCGAUGGGAAACAGGUUAAUAUUCCUGUACUUGGUGUUACUGCGAAGGGGGGACGGAGAAGGCUAUGUUGGCCGGGCGACGGUUGUCCCGGUUUAAGCGUGUAGGCUGGUUUUCCAGGCAAAUCCGGAAAAUCAAGGCUGAGGCGUGAUGACGAGGCACUACGGUGCUGAAGCAACAAAUGCCCUGCUUCCAGGAAAAGCCUCUAAGCAUCAGGUAACAUCAAAUCGUACCCCAAACCGACACAGGUGGUCAGGUAGAGAAUACCAAGGCGCUUGAGAGAACUCGGGUGAAGGAACUAGGCAAAAUGGUGCCGUAACUUCGGGAGAAGGCACGCUGAUAUGUAGGUGAAGCGACUUGCUCGUGGAGCUGAAAUCAGUCGAAGAUACCAGCUGGCUGCAACUGUUUAUUAAAAACACAGCACUGUGCAAACACGAAAGUGGACGUAUACGGUGUGACGCCUGCCCGGUGCCGGAAGGUUAAUUGAUGGGGUCAGCGCAAGCGAAGCUCUUGAUCGAAGCCCCGGUAAACGGCGGCCGUAACUAUAACGGUCCUAAGGUAGCGAAAUUCCUUGUCGGGUAAGUUCCGACCUGCACGAAUGGCGUAAUGAUGGCCAGGCUGUCUCCACCCGAGACUCAGUGAAAUUGAACUCGCUGUGAAGAUGCAGUGUACCCGCGGCAAGACGGAAAGACCCCGUGAACCUUUACUAUAGCUUGACACUGAACAUUGAGCCUUGAUGUGUAGGAUAGGUGGGAGGCUUUGAAGUGUGGACGCCAGUCUGCAUGGAGCCGACCUUGAAAUACCACCCUUUAAUGUUUGAUGUUCUAACGUGGACCCGUAAUCCGGGUUGCGGACAGUGUCUGGUGGGUAGUUUGACUGGGGCGGUCUCCUCCUAAAGAGUAACGGAGGAGCACGAAGGUUGGCUAAUCCUGGUCGGACAUCAGGAGGUUAGUGCAAUGGCAUAAGCCAGCUUGACUGCGAGCGUGACGGCGCGAGCAGGUGCGAAAGCAGGUCAUAGUGAUCCGGUGGUUCUGAAUGGAAGGGCCAUCGCUCAACGGAUAAAAGGUACUCCGGGGAUAACAGGCUGAUACCGCCCAAGAGUUCAUAUCGACGGCGGUGUUUGGCACCUCGAUGUCGGCUCAUCACAUCCUGGGGCUGAAGUAGGUCCCAAGGGUAUGGCUGUUCGCCAUUUAAAGUGGUACGCGAGCUGGGUUUAGAACGUCGUGAGACAGUUCGGUCCCUA